GGCAAAUGCCUUGAAUUCCACAGCAUAAGAUGCCUCAUAAAACAAGCUCUAUAGAAUCAUCAAAAAACAACGAGAACAAGACACUAGAUUUAGAACAAUUGAAAUUGACUAUAGUGAUUCAAUACAAAGUUCAAACUGACAGUCAUUUGAACAAUCAUUUUAGUGCAGGUUAAAUUUUAUCUGUGCAGAUGUAUAAGAAAAUCAUACCAUUUCUAAAUUAAAUGAUUCCUACACACCCUUAAAAUAGGCAGAAAAAAUAUCAAGAGCUAACAAUCUUAUGCAAGCUAAACGUUUGGAAAUUACUUUUGAAAUUUGUUCAACUGUUGCACACCAGUCUCUUUUCAUCUAACAAGUCACCCAACCAUUACUAGAACAUUUUAAAGACAUUUGAAAGAGGGCUCCUUUUAGGUUCUCCUCCACCAAAGAUUGAAUCAACACAAAUUGAAGAAACUUCAAGUUUCAAAAAUGUUGGCAUCAACCACAAGUAAUUCAGGAAGUUCAUUUUCAAAAUUGUCAUCUUUUUCCCUUUUCUUUUGGCCAGAAACAGACUAUCAGGGCAAAAUGAAUGAUUAAAAGUAAACUUUGAGAACAGUUAAUUAUCCAAUUUUACCCAGAAAGGAAAAAUACAAUGGUAAUGAAAGAAAAGGAUAUUACCUAAAGACUAAUCGUUAAAUUCAGAUAUGAGAGACAAGGCACGUAAACAAACAAGAAUUCCCAACUACUUGGGAACCAGCUUGGACUAUAUUAAACCUUAUGAUCUUUCUAGUUUCUAUUUGUUUAAUCUAAAAUCCAGCAUAAUUAAGUCAAAUUCAAAUCCUAUUGGCAAAGAAAGCAAAAGAGCAACUCCAGUUGUUGAAUUAUCUAAUAGUAAAAUUAUAUAAGCUAAAGUUUUCGUAUAAUACGGACCAUGAUUAUGCAUAAAGACACAAAAUUUCGCACAUAUUUCUUGAGAUGUUAAUAACAAGAAAGAACGCAACGGGGUCAUUUCCAACCUGCUGCAUUGUUGACAAAAC
Molecule: unclassified non-coding RNA, 1013 nt
Filed under: Hevea brasiliensis (rubber tree)
Lineage: Eukaryota; Viridiplantae; Streptophyta; Magnoliopsida; Malpighiales; Euphorbiaceae
Source: RNAcentral